CCUGGCGGGUGGCGUGGGCUGCGGUCUCCUCCCGUUUCUUCCCGCCUCCCCGAGCUUUUAAAGGCCUGAAGUGGGUUCUGUCUUCUCAGGCCGGGAGUUUCCUACUCUGGGGGCUCUUCUCGCAGAACUCACCCACGCCAACUCCCCUCAGCCGCUGGUGGAAAAGGAGACUGAGGUGCUGUAAAAGGAAGUGAUUUUCGAAGGACACACUGGUGAUGAGAGGAGUCAGCAGAAUGGAGUGCUCAGGGCAGAGGAACCGAAGUUAGGAUUUCCCACUCAGAGUGUCCUUGGAUGAUCUAAGUCACAACCCUUCUCUGCUCUUCAGUUUUCUUACCUGUGAAGUGAGAGGAUUCAACAAAAUUAUACCUAAGUUCUCUUCAAAUGCUUCACAAUUGUGAAGCACAACUGUGCUUCACAAGCUAGUUGUGAAGUCACAAGCUAGUUGUGACAAAUCGAGGAAUAAAACAAAGGUCUGAGGACAUCUCAUUCCCAGAACUUUCUUAAUGCUCUAUUUCAUGUAUUCUAAGACACACAUUCUUAUUUAACAUUUAGCAUCACAGAAAUCAGGGCACGCCUUACAAUCGAUGAUGUCAGAUAACAAGGCUCCAGCAAUGCAUAGUUGCAUUGCCUGCCUGGAGGUACUUGGUUAUUAUUCCUGGACAGAAUGACUGGACAACCACAGUCAUUGACGUUUUAAUCAACAAACCACCUACGGUCCUUUGGAGGAUCAAAUAUGAGUUCCAGUUGUUGUCUGGAAACCUUCUAUUUGUACCUUCUAGUAGAAUAUGAAAAUAGCACCAGCAUCAAAAUUGGCAAAUUGGUACUGGUGGCUUGACAGAAACUUCCAAGACAGCAGAGUAGCACUCUUUUAAGAAAUGCUGCAUUCCCCAACUCUCUUGGUGGCUUAGUUGACAAUAUUGUGUGGAAAAACAUAUCAACAGCUGAGAGGAAAGUGCUUCAGAAGAGACGAACCAUUCUGAAUGUGAAGUCUUACGAAUACCUUAACCACUGUAUUUUGCUUAAAUUUUCCUUUUUACAUGUACACAAGAGCAAUAUGUGAUUGACAUUGAAGCAGCCUAAAUGUCCAUCAGCAGAUGAGGGGAUAAAGAAGAUGUGGUAUGUAUAUACAAUGGAAUACUACUUAGCCAUAAAAACGAGUGACAUAACGCCAUUUACAGCAACGUGGAAGGACCUAGAGAUUAUCUAAGUGAAGUAAGUCAGAAAGAGAAAGACAAAUAUCGUAUGACAUCACUUAUAAGUGGAAUCUAAAGCAUGACACAAGUGAACUUAUCUACAAAACAGAAACAGACUCACAGACCUAGAGAACAGACUUGCGGUUGCUGAGGGGGAGCGGAGGAGGGACGGAUUGGGAGUUUAGGAUUAACAGAUGCAAACUAUUAUAUAUAGAAUGGAUAAACAGCAAGAUUCAACUGUAUAGCACAGUGAACUAUCUUCAAUAUCCUGUGAUAAACCAUAAUGGAAAAGAAUAUGAAAAAGAAUAUAUAUAUAUAUAUAUAC
Long non-coding RNA from Balaenoptera acutorostrata (minke whale), 1518 nucleotides. RefSeq lists it as uncharacterized. Lineage: Eukaryota; Metazoa; Chordata; Mammalia; Artiodactyla; Balaenopteridae. The transcript has 3 exons. The record is from RefSeq and is a predicted model, not a curated record.